Molecule: ribosomal RNA, 322 nt
Filed under: Listeria monocytogenes
Lineage: Bacteria; Bacillati; Bacillota; Bacilli; Caryophanales; Listeriaceae
Description: partial 23S ribosomal RNA
Rfam family: Eukaryotic large subunit ribosomal RNA
Source: RNAcentral
CUAAUAGGGAACGUGAGCUGGGUUUAGACCGUCGUGAGACAGGUUAGUUUUACCCUACUGAUGGACUUGUUGCAAUAGUAAUUGAACUUAGUACGAGAGGAACAGUUCAUUCGGAUAAUUGGUGUUUGCUGCUGUCUGAUCAGGCAAUGCAGCGAAGCUACCAUCCGCUGGAUUAUGGCUGAACGCCUCUAAGUCAGAACCCAUGCUAGAAGUGAUGAAUUAGGGGGUAGGAUGGAUAUGAAUAAGUAUCGCAGUACCGGAGGGGGAGUUUGGGUGGAUAAGGAAAUUGUCUGCUCUUCCCUGAUUGUAAAGAUUUACCCUU